GUGCUGGCUUCAGCAGCACAUAUACUAAAAUUGGAAUGAUACAGAGAUUAGCGUGGCCCCUGUGCAGGGGUGACACACAAAUUCAUGAAGCAUUCCUUUAAAAA
RNAcentral lists this small nuclear RNA (104 nucleotides) under Dasypus novemcinctus (nine-banded armadillo). Lineage: Eukaryota; Metazoa; Chordata; Mammalia; Cingulata; Dasypodidae. The record is from RNAcentral.